Molecule: ribosomal RNA, 506 nt
Filed under: uncultured Pseudomonadota bacterium
Lineage: Bacteria; Pseudomonadati; Pseudomonadota
Description: bacterial SSU rRNA
Rfam family: Bacterial small subunit ribosomal RNA
Source: RNAcentral
GCGUGGGUGAUGAAGAUCCCCGGAUCGUAAAACCCUGUCAGGUGGGAUGAAAUACCAUUCGGUUAAUACCCGAGUGGCUUGACAGUACCACCAGAGGAGCACCGGCUAACUCCGUGCCAGCAGCCGCGGUAAUACGGAGGGUGCAAGCGUUAAUCGGAAUUACUGGGCGUAAAGCGUGCGUAGGCGGUUAGUUAAGUCAGAUGUGAAAGCCCCGGGCUUAACCUGGGAACUGCAUUUGAUACUGGCUGACUAGAGUUUAAUAGAGGAGAGUGGAAUUUCAGGUGUAGCGGUGAAAUGCGUAGAGAUCUGAAGGAACACCAGUGGCGAAGGCGACUCUCUGGAUUAAAACUGACGCUGAGGUACGAAAGCGUGGGUAGCAAACAGGAUUAGAUACCCUGGUAGUCCACGCCGUAAACGAUGUCAACUAGCCGUUGGGCCUUUUAACAGGCUUAGUGGCGCAGCUAACGCAUUAAGUUGACCGCCUGGGGAGUACGGCCGCAAGGUUA